RNAcentral lists this transfer RNA (73 nucleotides) under bacterium. Its description in RNAcentral is "tRNA-Lys". It matches the Rfam family "tRNA". From Rfam's summary of the family: Transfer RNA (tRNA) molecules are approximately 80 nucleotides in length. Their secondary structure includes four short double-helical elements and three loops (D, anti-codon, and T loops). The record is from RNAcentral. RNAcentral also lists the same sequence under 3 other names.
GCGCCUUUAGCUCAGUCGGUAGAGCAGCGGACUUUUAAUCCGUUGGUCCUGGGUUCGAGUCCCAGAGGGCGCA